This 926-nucleotide ribosomal RNA is filed under the name Micrococcus sp. RNAcentral describes it as "bacterial SSU rRNA". It matches the Rfam family "Bacterial small subunit ribosomal RNA", at positions 27 to 965 of the family's 1533-position model. Lineage: Bacteria; Bacillati; Actinomycetota; Actinomycetes; Micrococcales; Micrococcaceae. The record is from RNAcentral.
GGAUGAACGCUGGCGGCGUGCUUAACACAUGCAAGUCGAACGAUGAAGCCGAGCUUGCUCGGUGGAUUAGUGGCGAACGGGUGAGUAACACGUGAGUAACCUGCCCUUGACUCUGGGAUAAGCCCGGGAAACUGGGUCUAAUACCGGAUAUGAGCGUCCACCGCAUGGUGGGUGCUGGAAAGAAUUUCGGUCAAGGAUGGACUCGCGGCCUAUCAGCUUGUUGGUGAGGUAAUGGCUCACCAAGGCGACGACGGGUAGCCGGCCUGAGAGGGUGACCGGCCACACUGGGACUGAGACACGGCCCAGACUCCUACGGGAGGCAGCAGUGGGGAAUAUUGCACAAUGGGCGAAAGCCUGAUGCAGCGACGCCGCGUGAGGGAUGACGGCCUUCGGGUUGUAAACCUCUUUCAGUAGGGAAGAAGCGAAAGUGACGGUACCUGCAGAAGAAGCACCGGCUAACUACGUGCCAGCAGCCGCGGUAAUACGUAGGGUGCGAGCGUUAUCCGGAAUUAUUGGGCGUAAAGAGCUCGUAGGCGGUUUGUCGCGUCUGUCGUGAAAGUCCGGGGCUUAACCCCGGAUCUGCGGUGGGUACGGGCAGACUAGAGUGCAGUAGGGGAGACUGGAAUUCCUGGUGUAGCGGUGGAAUGCGCAGAUAUCAGGAGGAACACCGAUGGCGAAGGCAGGUCUCUGGGCUGUAACUGACGCUGAGGAGCGAAAGCAUGGGGAGCGAACAGGAUUAGAUACCCUGGUAGUCCAUGCCGUAAACGUUGGGCACUAGGUGUGGGGAACAUUCCACGUUUUCCGCGCCGCAGCUAACGCAUUAGGUGCCCCGCCUGGGGAGUACGGCCGCAAGGCUAAAACUCAAAGGAAUUGACGGGGGCCCGCACAAGCGGCGGAGCAUGCGGAUUAAUUCGAUGCAACGCGAA